AUUGAACGCUGGCGGCAGGCCUAACACAUGCAAGUCGAACGUGAGGGGGACGGGUGAGUAUUGUAUGGGGACUGCCCCAUUGCGGGGGAUAACUACUGUUAACGGUAGAUAAUACUGCCUACUCUCUUAUAUCCCAUAUGGGAUUAGCUAGUAGGUGAGGUAAUGGCUCACCUAGGCGACGAUCCAUCGCUGGUCUGAGAGGAUGAUCGGCAACACGGGGACGGGGACACGGCCCGGACUCCUACGGAGGCAGCAGUGGGGAAUAUUCGACAAUGGGCGCAAUCCGGAUGCGGCCAGGCCGCGUGUAGGAGGAAGGCCCUAGGGUUGUAAAGUACUUUCAGUCGGGAGGCGUUACCGACAGAGGAAGCAACGGCUAACUCCGUGCCAGCAGCCGCGGUAAUUC
RNAcentral lists this ribosomal RNA (403 nucleotides) under uncultured bacterium. RNAcentral describes it as "partial 16S ribosomal RNA". It matches the Rfam family "Bacterial small subunit ribosomal RNA", at positions 30 to 526 of the family's 1533-position model. The record is from RNAcentral.